ACUCCUACGGGAGGCAGCAGUGGGGAAUUUUGGCCAAUGGGCGCAAGCCUGAUCCAGCAAUGCCGCGUGCAGGAUGAAGGCCUUCGGGUUGUAAACUGCUUUUGUACGGAGCGAAACGGUCUUCUCUAAUAAAGGGGGCUAAUGACGGUACCGUAAGAAUAAGCACCGGCUAACUACGUGCCAGCAGCCGCGGUAAUACGGAGGGUGCAAGCGU
Molecule: ribosomal RNA, 214 nt
Filed under: uncultured organism
Description: partial 16S ribosomal RNA
Rfam family: Bacterial small subunit ribosomal RNA
Source: RNAcentral